GAGGGUAUAGCUCAGUGGUAGAGUGCGUGCUUGGCAUGCAUGACGCCCUGGGUUCAGUCCCCAGUACCUUCA
Molecule: transfer RNA, 72 nt
Filed under: Camelus bactrianus (Bactrian camel)
Lineage: Eukaryota; Metazoa; Chordata; Mammalia; Artiodactyla; Camelidae
Also listed under: 1 other name
Rfam family: tRNA
About the family: Transfer RNA (tRNA) molecules are approximately 80 nucleotides in length. Their secondary structure includes four short double-helical elements and three loops (D, anti-codon, and T loops). Further hydrogen bonds mediate the characteristic L-shaped molecular structure. tRNAs have two regions of fundamental functional importance: the anti-codon, which is responsible for specific mRNA codon recognition, and the 3' end, to which the tRNAs corresponding amino acid is attached (by aminoacyl-tRNA synthetases). tRNAs cope with the degeneracy of the genetic code in two manners: having more than one tRNA (with a specific anti-codon) for a particular amino acid; and 'wobble' base-pairing, i.e. permitting non-standard base-pairing at the 3rd anti-codon position.
Source: Rfam by way of RNAcentral